This 649-nucleotide ribosomal RNA is filed under the name uncultured bacterium. Its description in RNAcentral is "bacterial SSU rRNA". It matches the Rfam family "Bacterial small subunit ribosomal RNA", at positions 127 to 812 of the family's 1533-position model. The record is from RNAcentral.
UACCUAUCGGUAAGGAACAACAGUUGGAAACGACUGCUAAUACCUUAUACGCCCUUUUGGGGAAAGAUUUAUCGCCGAUAGAUCGGCCCGCGUUAGAUUAGCUAGUUGGUAGGGUAAUGGCCUACCAAGGCGACGAUCUAUAGCUGGUCUGAGAGGAUGAUCAGCCACACUGGGACUGAGACACGGCCCAGACUCCUACGGGAGGCAGCAGUGGGGAAUAUUGGACAAUGGGGGCAACCCUGAUCCAGCCAUGCCGCGUGAGUGAUGAAGGCCUUAGGGUUGUAAAGCUCUUUCGCUAGGGAAGAUAAUGACGGUAGCAGGUAAAGAAACCCCGGCUAACUCCGUGCCAGCAGCCGCGGUAAUACGGAGGGGGUUAGCGUUGUUCGGAAUUACUGGGCGUAAAGCGCGCGUAGGGGACAAUUAAGUCAGGGGUGAAAUCCCGGGGCUCAACCCCGAACUGCCUUUGAUACUGGUUGUCUUGAGUUCGAGAGAGGUGAGUGGAAUUCCGAGUGUAGAGGUGAAAUUCGUAGAUAUUCGGAGGAACACCAGUGGCGAGGGCGGCUCACUGGCUCGAUACUGACGCUGAGGUGCGAAAGUGUGGGGAGCAAACAGGAUUAGAUACCCUGGUAGUCCACACCGUAAACGAUGA